GAUGAACGCUGGCGGCGUGCCUAAUACAUGCAAGUAGAACGCUGAAGGAAGGAGCUUGCUCUUUCCGGAUGAGUUGCGAACGGGUGAGUAACGCGUAGGUAACCUGCCUGGUAGCGGGGGAUAACUAUUGGAAACGAUAGCUAAUACCGCAUAACAGUAGAUGUUGCAUGAUAACUACUUAAAAGGUGCAAUUGCACCACUACCAGAUGGACCUGCGUUGUAUUAGCUAGUUGGUGAGGUAACGGCUCACCAAGGCGACGAUACAUAGCCGACCUGAGAGGGUGAUCGGCCACACUGGGACUGAGACACGGCCCAGACUCCUACGGGAGGCAGCAGUAGGGAAUCUUCGGCAAUGGACGGAAGUCUGACCGAGCAACGCCGCGUGAGUGAAGAAGGUUUUCGGAUCGUAAAGCUCUGUUGUAAGAGAAGAACGAGUGUGAGAGUGGAAAGUUCACACUGUGACGGUAUCUUACCAGAAAGGGACGGCUAACUACGUG
RNAcentral lists this ribosomal RNA (497 nucleotides) under uncultured bacterium. Its description in RNAcentral is "partial 16S ribosomal RNA". It matches the Rfam family "Bacterial small subunit ribosomal RNA", at positions 28 to 507 of the family's 1533-position model. The record is from RNAcentral.